Molecule: regulatory RNA element, 66 nt
Organism: Scleropages formosus (Asian bonytongue)
Lineage: Eukaryota; Metazoa; Chordata; Actinopteri; Osteoglossiformes; Osteoglossidae
Rfam family: MAT2A 3'UTR stem loop E
Source: Rfam
CCAGUGUUCCCUUGUGGCCCAAAGUGUCCUACAGAAAAGCUUUGGGAUGCACCCACAUGGGCCUGC